Molecule: ribosomal RNA, 255 nt
Filed under: uncultured bacterium
Lineage: Bacteria
Description: partial 16S ribosomal RNA
Rfam family: Bacterial small subunit ribosomal RNA
Source: RNAcentral
UACGUAGGGGGCAAGCGUUGUUCGGAAUCACUGGGCGUAAAGGGUGCGUAGGCGGGUCUUUUAAGUCAGGGGUGAAAUCCUGGAGCUCAACUCCAGAACUGCCUUUGAUACUGAAGAUCUUGAGUUCGGGAGAGGUGAGUGGAACUGCGAGUGUAGAGGUGAAAUUCGUAGAUAUUCGCAAGAACACCAGUGGCGAAGGCGGCUCACUGGCCCGAUACUGACGCUGAGGCACGAAAGCGUGGGGAGCAAACAGGG